UCCGGUUGAUCCUGCCGGACCCGACUGCUAUCAGAAUAGGACUAAGCCAUGCGAGUCAACGUAGCAAUACGUGGCAUACGGCUCAGUAACACGUAGUCAACAUGCCCAGGGGACGUGGAUAACCUCGGGAAACUGAGGAUAAACCGCGAUAGGUCAUAGUAUCUGGAAUGAUUUAUGGCUUAAAUCUAUAUGGCCCCUGGAUUGGACUGCGGCCGAUCAGGCUGUUGGUGAGGUAAUGGCCCACCAAACCUAAAACCGGUACGGGCUCUGAGAGGAGAAGCCCGGAGAUGGGCACUGAGACAAGGGCCCAGGCCCUAUGGGGCGCAGCAGGCGCGAAGACUCUGCAAUAAGCGAAAGCUUGACAGGGUUAUUCUGAGUGAUUUCCGCUAAGGAAAUCUUUUGGCACCUCUAAAAAUGGUGCAGAAUAAGGGGUGGGCAAGCCUGGUGUCAGCCGCCGCGGUAAUACCAGCACCCCGAGUGGUCGGGACGAUUAUUGGGCCUAAAGCAUCCGUAGCCGGUUCUACAAGUCUUCCGUUAAAUCCACCUGCUCAACAGUUGGGCUGCGGAGGAUACUAUAGAGCUAGGAGGCGGGAGAGGCAAGCGGUACUCAGUGGGUAGGGGUAAAAUCCGUUGAUCCAUUGAAGACCACCAGUGGCGAAGGCGGCUUGCCAGAACGCACUCGACGGUGAGGGAUGAAAGCUGGGGGAGCAAACCGGAUUAGAUACCCGGGUAGUCCCAGCUGUAAACGAUGCAGACUCGGUGAUGAAUAGGCUUCGUGCCUAUUCAGUGCCGCAGGGAAGCCGUUAAGUCUGCCGCCUGGGGAGUACGGUCGCAAGACUGAAACUUAAAGGAAUUGGCGGGGGAGCACCACAAGGGGUGAAGCCUGCGGUUCAAUUGGAGCAACGCCGGAAAUCUUACCGGGGGCGACAGCAGAAUGAAGGUCAAGCUGAAGACUUUACCAGACAAGCUGAGAGGAGGUGCAUGGCCGUCGCCAGCUCGUGCCGUGAGGUGUCCUGUUAAGUCAGGUAACGAGCGAGAUCCCUGCCUCUAGUUGCUACCAUUGCUCUCAGGAGUAGUGGGGCUAAUUAGAGGGACUGCCGUCGCUGAGACGGAGGAAGGAGGGGGCUACGGCAGGUCAGUAUGCCCCGAAACCCUCGGGCCACACGCGGGCUGCAAUGGUAAGGACAAUAAGUUCCUAUUCCGAAAGGAGGAGGUAAUCUCCAAACCUUACCUCAGUUAUGAUUGAGGGCUGAAACUCGCCCUCAUGAAUAUGGAAUCCCUAGUAACCGCGUGUCAUUAUCGCGCGGUGAAUACGUCCCUGCUCCUCGCACACACCGCCCGUCGCUUCAUCGAAGUUGGUUCUUGGCGAGGUUGUGUCUCAUUGGCACUAUCGAACCUGGGGUCAGCAACGAGGGAG
Molecule: ribosomal RNA, 1417 nt
Filed under: metagenome
Description: bacterial SSU rRNA
Rfam family: Archaeal small subunit ribosomal RNA
Source: RNAcentral